Long non-coding RNA from Nicrophorus vespilloides, 348 nucleotides. RefSeq lists it as uncharacterized. Lineage: Eukaryota; Metazoa; Arthropoda; Insecta; Coleoptera; Silphidae. The record is from RefSeq and is a predicted model, not a curated record. The transcript is spliced from 3 exons.
CUGAGCGUCGGGACGCGCGUUUCGCACCUGAGCUCUCUGACACAGAUAGAUUCCGUUUUGUGCGCAAACCGUAUCCAGAUGGCAUGUGCUUGAGGAAUAGCCAGAGUAUUCAUUUCGUGUGUUUCUAUUUGAGUAUUACUUGUGAUUGACAAUAAUUUACACACAAGGUGAUAUUUUCCGGGCGGGCGGCGGCCGACCGAUACGAUACGGCCCAGACACGCAUUAUCGAAAGGUUGCUAGUUUUACCAUCUGCGAACUAUAGAUAUUCCCUAAAAGUGAUUCGGUGUUUCGUGCAGUGAAGUGAUUUGUUACAAAUCUACAAAACAGAUAACAGUUAACCAACAAUAA